UGGGCCCCCAACUAACCAAUAAGGUGCGAGUUUGUGACCCUACAAUUUUGUCGAUGCAAGGCUAACUGAAGUCCUUGAUGCAAUCGGCUAUCUAUCGGCUAUCCCGAGCCUGAAAUGUGGAGAAUUGAGGGUGGUGAGAUUAUAAAAUCCCAGUGAGUAAACAAAUACCAUCUAAACCAUCUAAAGUCGAGUAAAUGGAGACAAGUAAGAUAUUCCAUUCCAGUAUGUUUUUCAUAACAUCAAUAAUCAAUUUACUCAAAUAAUCAACUUGGCUUAUGUAUUUCAUAAAACUUGGCUCCUGCCAAAAUCAUUCCCGGGGAUGCCUUGGCCUAAGCAUCUGAUCGAGACUACCAAGGCUGUUCAGUGUAGUACACACAUGAACAUAUUUGUACAUUUGAAAAUCUAGCCAUGCCAUGGCGUUGGUUGAGUCUCACUCUCACGCAGUGGUCCACGUGAAGUGCACUCAAAUCUUUACCUCUAGAGACACCCUCCACACUGCUCUCCGAUCAAGGUAAGGUAUAUCUGAUUCUGUGCCCCCUCUCUUAGGCUAGUCCACAGAACCUCCUCUGCAAGAAUUUUGGAUUAUUUUAUCUACCACCUGAUUUAUAAAAUCUUUAUCUGCAUGACAUGGCAAUUUAUCGCAACCUAGCCUCUCAAGGCUGAAUACACAGUACAAAUAAUUCGAACACCAAAAAUCAGUUUAGCCAUUCAUGCUCAUAUAUUGUCAUAAGCCAUUCAAUUUAAAACCAUAAAUUUACAACACAUCAAGUGGUCUUCAAUUACUCUAUUUUCAAAAUCAUUAUUUAAUUUAUAAAAAUUUAUAAAAUCACAUUUAUUCAAAAAGCAUAACAAUUUACCAUUUAAACCCAUUUUACCAUAAAAUCACAAAAACGAAUAAAAACUACUUUAGAUAAUUAAGACGAUAGUAAGGUUACUCACAGUAUCAGGAGUAGAAAUACUCCUAGUCCCAGUCUUUGGUGUAAUCUCUUUAUUUUUAUCAAAUAGCUCACCACCUAUACAUCACACAUGACACAAAAUUCAAUAAUUUGUGUCAAUUUAUCAUAAACUAUUUCAGGCUCUCUAAAUCUAAAUGAAUGCAUGCGAUGGGAUGCAAAAUGUCCGAUUAAUCACUUAAACGUGAUAUUUAACCUAAGUCACACUAUACUCGAUCUAAUCGGCUAAAAUCUCCAAUUUAACUCUAAAUCAAUUUUUCUCACUUUCUACACUUCAAUUAUACCUAAAUUACCUCAGUGACUAUGAAUGAAAUUCAAUUUAUCAGCCCCGGGUCAAUAAUCACACAUGUCUAUAUGUUGAGCAAAAAUUCAGAUUUUCACACCAAAAUUUCUCAUUUAAUUUCUAGCCUCACCAAACAUCAAAUAUCAUUAAUUUCAGCCACAAUAUCCUCCCUAGAAAAUUCGUCCAAUGAAGAACACAUAAGGAAUGGGUGAUUUUCAAGCUUGAUUCUUACACUAAACACCAUAAAUCAUUGAAAACAUCCAUAUAACUUAAAAUCCAACCAAACCAUCACCAAACUCUCUCUCUCUAGAAUUCGGCCUUCAUGGGUUUCAUCAUGCCAACUCAAUUUUCAGCCAGGGAAAUAAGAAAAUAAAGCAUGGGUAUGCUAGAUCUCAAGCAAAAAUUGAAAAAUCAUACCUUAUCUUGCUUGAUUCCUUGAAAUUUCCACAAUUUUUCUUGAAAUUCUCUUAUCUAGGGUUUUUUCUAGUUUUUCCUUUCUUUCCU
RNAcentral lists this long non-coding RNA (1740 nucleotides) under Theobroma cacao (cacao). RNAcentral describes it as "long non-coding RNA (TCAC_LNC003328)". The record is from RNAcentral. Lineage: Eukaryota; Viridiplantae; Streptophyta; Magnoliopsida; Malvales; Malvaceae.